This 432-nucleotide ribosomal RNA is filed under the name uncultured bacterium. Its description in RNAcentral is "partial 16S ribosomal RNA". It matches the Rfam family "Bacterial small subunit ribosomal RNA", at positions 29 to 506 of the family's 1533-position model. The record is from RNAcentral.
AACGAACGCUGGCGGCAUGCCUAACACAUGCAAGUCGAACGAGACCUUCGGGUCUAGUGGCGCACGGGUGCGUAACGCGUGGGAACCUGCCUUUAGGUUCGGAAUAACUCAGAGAAAUUUGAGCUAAUACCGGAUGAUGUCUUCGGACCAAAGAUUUAUCGCCUUUAGAUGGGCCCGCGUUGGAUUAGCUAGUUGGUGGGGUAAAGGCCUACCAAGGCGACGAUCCAUAGCUGGUCUGAGAGGAUGAUCAGCCACACUGGGACUGAGACACGGCCCAGACUCCUACGGGAGGCAGCAGUGGGGAAUAUUGGACAAUGGGCGAAAGCCUGAUCCAGCAAUGCCGCGUGAGUGAUGAAGGCCUUAGGGUUGUAAAGCUCUUUUACCCGAGAUGAUAAUGACAGUAUCGGGAGAAUAAGCUCCGGCUAACUCCGG